UGACCUAUGUUCUUAUAUAAAUAUGUAGGUCUCAUGCAGACUAUUUGGGCAUUACCUAAAAAUUCUUCCAGACCAUCUGUUUGAUGCAGUUUCCAAGUUACUAGGCUUUACUUACUGCCAAAAUCAAAUUAAUGGUUUCUGUACCAACGUAACAACUCUGCGUUGCAUCCUUGUGUGGGCUGUAAGUAACAACAGAGGGUAUUAAAGUGCUUUGGUACUUUAUGCUUUGUUAAAACCUUAGUCCAUACUUUAAUGCCAGCCACCAGCACCCUGGAUUAGGUUGGUAUAGGACGUAGAUUAGACGUUUCAAACAGGAUUUAGGGUUAUUGUUUCAGUAUGUGCUCCUCAGGCUCCAGGAGAAAGUCCCCAGACCUGCAGCUGCAACAGCUAGCUGUUGAGAUUGUUUUCUCAGAAUGCUUAGGUACCAUCAUUGGGAAGAGGAAUGGCUCCAGGCUCAGCAGUCUAGAGAAACAAAGAUCUCAAGAGCUGAAGAUCUGAUACAUGAUUGAUCCAGCAAAGAUAAGGCACAGAAUGGUUAUCAACACUCCUAUGGUUAAACUCUUAUUAUCUGCAACAAAACACAUUGAGUUAACUUCUAUCAAGAGCCAUCUUUACUGAAAUGUGUUGUGUAUAUGGAGGAGGACAUUGCUGCCUGGCCCGGGUUUCUAACUGCAAUGCAGCGAGCUGCUAAACUUGACCAUGUAUCUUGAAAAUAAAGGCAGGCAAAGAAAGGCAAAGAAAAGAACCCGCCAGGACCACUGUGCCUUCAGUUAUGCAAGAAAAUUGAUGCACUCAGCCUGCCUUGGUUUUACUUCACUAAAUUUUCAGGAACAAGAGUCUCUCUACGCUCCUAAGGCUGUAAAGCUUUGUCAGCCCACUUGAACACUCCUAGCCAGCAAGGGCUUGCACUAGGCUGCAUACUGAUUUUUCCACUGCUCAGGUCCGCCAGCUCUAAGAGGAACCAGUUGCUGGAAGAACACGCGAAACUGGAGUCAGGGCUGAGGAAACCCUCCCUUUGACAUCACACCUGCACUGUCUAUAAAGAUCCAGUCCUCAGUGUUCUGGUGGUUUUAAUCUGAGUUAAGGAACAACUAGCAAGACCUGAUUUACCAAAUGCUCCCUUGCAGAACAAGAGAGAUCCAAAGAACUGGAGCCCAUCGUUAACAUCAGCCUGUUCCCGCUGCGCAGAGCAGAAGGAGCCGGCAGACUCGUGGCUCUUUCUUCAGGAGGUGUCUCAGUCCCAAACACCCAUUAAAAAAAAAGGCUGCUUUUUAUUUCCUUUUGCUACCACCCAAGCAGUGGCUACAUGUCUAAUACAGAGGGUAAA
This is a long non-coding RNA of Aquila chrysaetos chrysaetos, 1327 nucleotides long. RefSeq lists it as uncharacterized. NCBI's taxonomy places the organism in Eukaryota, Metazoa, Chordata, Aves, Accipitriformes, Accipitridae. The transcript has 5 exons. The record is from RefSeq and is a predicted model, not a curated record.